UGGGGAAUUCUGGACAAUGGGCGAAAGCCUGAUCCAGCAAUGCCGCGUGAGUGAAGAAGGCCUUCGGGUUGUAAAGCUCUUUUGUCAGGGAAGAAACGGUGAGAGCUAGUAUCUUUUGCUAAUGACGGUACCUGAAGAAUAAGCACCGGCUAACUACGUGCCAGCAGCCGCGGUAAUACGUAGGGUGCAAGCGUUAAUCGGAAUUACUGGGCGUAAAGCGUGCGCAGGCGGUUUUGUAAGUCUGAUGUGAAAUCCCCGGGCUCAACCUGGGAAUUGCAUUGGAGACUGCAAGGCUAGAAUCUGGCAGAGGGGGGCAGAAUUCCACGCGUAGCAGUGAAAUGCGUAGAUAUGUGGAGGAACACCGAUGGCGAAGGCAGCCCCCCUGGGUCGAGAUUGACGCUCAUGCACGAAAGCGUGGGGAGCAAACAGGAUUAGAUACCCUGGUAGUCCACGCCCUAAACGAUGUCUACUAGUUGUCGGGUCUUAAUUGACUUGGUAACGCAGCUAACGCGUGAAGUAGACCGCCUGGGGAGUACGGUCGCAAGAUUAAAAA
This 553-nucleotide ribosomal RNA is filed under the name uncultured bacterium. RNAcentral describes it as "partial 16S ribosomal RNA". It matches the Rfam family "Bacterial small subunit ribosomal RNA", at positions 355 to 900 of the family's 1533-position model. The record is from RNAcentral.